RNAcentral lists this transfer RNA (71 nucleotides) under Olea europaea subsp. europaea. It matches the Rfam family "tRNA". From Rfam's summary of the family: Transfer RNA (tRNA) molecules are approximately 80 nucleotides in length. The record is from Rfam by way of RNAcentral. Lineage: Eukaryota; Viridiplantae; Streptophyta; Magnoliopsida; Lamiales; Oleaceae.
GGGCGCUUAGUUUAGGGGCAUAACAGUCGCUUCGCAAGCGAGAGACGUGAGUUCGAUUCUCACAGCGUCCA